UGAGACAGCCCAGGACCCCGGACGGGCACCCCCCCCACUGCCCAACUGCAGUGCAUGAUCUGUUUGACUCACCCCCGGCCAGAUUGUCCUGCAGUUGGGGCAAGACAGAAACCCCUCUCUGUUCUCCCAUUGCAAAGAUGGCCAAGAUGAUGACCCCCUCACCGAAUGGACAGGCCCGGACAGCUGAUGAUGUGGGCUGCAAGCCUCCUUCUCCUGAGAAGAUGACCCGAACACUGACUCCAUCACAAGCCCAGUGGCCCUGGUUCAUGACAGCUGCAUCCACCUCAGCUGCUUCACCAACAGACAAGG
Acanthochromis polyacanthus (spiny chromis) is the source of this 309-nucleotide long non-coding RNA. RefSeq lists it as uncharacterized. NCBI's taxonomy places the organism in Eukaryota, Metazoa, Chordata, Actinopteri, Pomacentridae. The record is from RefSeq and is a predicted model, not a curated record. The transcript is spliced from 4 exons.